This 1680-nucleotide ribosomal RNA is filed under the name Triticum aestivum (bread wheat). Its description in RNAcentral is "partial small subunit ribosomal RNA". The record is from RNAcentral. Lineage: Eukaryota; Viridiplantae; Streptophyta; Magnoliopsida; Poales; Poaceae.
AUGGCCGACCCAGGAGGCUCGCAGCGCGCGGCGCUGCUCGCCGUGGCGUCCCUCUUCCCCGUGCCCGCCGGCGCGACCUUCUCCUACGGGACGGCGGGGUUCCGCGCCGACGGGAGCACCAUGGCCCCCGCGGUGUGCCGCGCCGGGAUCGUCGCGGCGCUGCGCUCGCUGAAGCUGGGCGGCGCCGCCGUUGGGCUGGUCAUCACGGCCUCGCACAACCCCGUCGCCGACAACGGCGUCAAGAUCGUGGACGCCGACGGCGGCAUGAUGUCGCAGGCCUGGGAGCCCUUCUCCGACGCCCUCGCCAAUGCCCCCACCCCCGACGCGCUCCUGCAGCUGGUGCUUCAGUUUGCGAAGGAUGAAGGGAUUACACUUGGUGGAGGUCACUCGGCGCAAGUGCUGUUGGCAAGAGACACGAGGCCUACUGGAGAGUACCUCCUCCACGUUGCAGUCAAAGGUAUAAGCACAAUAGUAGGCUCAGUUGCACUUGACAUGGGGAUCCUGACAACUCCGCAGCUACACUGGAUGGUUCGGAACAAAAACAGAGGCUUGAAAGCCUCUGAAGCGGAUUAUUUUACACAAAUCGCCGAGUCAUUCAGGCAUUUAUUGGAAUUAACCCCUGAUGAUAAAGGCAUCGAUGACCUAAAUGAGAAACUAAUUGUGGAUGGCGCAAACGGUAUUGGUGGGUUGAAGUUGGAACAAAUAAAGUCAAAUCUGGCCAGAUUAGACAUUCUUGUGAGAAAUUCAGGAAAAGAAGGAGAAGGAAUACUUAAUGAGAGGUGUGGUGCUGACUUUGUUCAAAAGGAGAAGGUUCUUCCUCUUGGUUUUGGCCCUAAUGAUGUUGGUGUCAGGUGUGCAAGUUUCGAUGGUGAUGCAGAUAGACUUGUGUAUUUUCAUGUUACAUCGCCUAGCAAGACUAGUGUUGAUCUUGUCGAUGGCGAUAAGAUAUUAUCACUAUUUGUCCUCUUUAUUAGAGAACAGUUGGAUAUUAUCAAUGGAGAAGACAAUAAAGGAUUAUUGCCUACAAGGUUUGGUGUAGUUCAAACUGCUUAUGCCAAUGGAGCAUCAACAGAAUUUCUUAAAAAUCUUGGUCUUGAAGUUGUCUUCACUUCAACAGGAGUGAAAUAUCUCCACAAGAAAGCUCUAGAAUAUGAUAUUGGUGUCUACUUUGAGGCCAAUGGACACGGGACAGUGCUAUUCAAUGAUGAGUUUGUCUCACGGCUUGAGUCUUUGACUGCUAGGCUUUCUGAAGCUGCAGGUUCUCCACAGCACCAAGCUGCCUCGAGAUUGGUAGCAGCAAGUCAAUUAAUUAAUCAAGCAGUGGGUGAUGCUAUAAGUGGAAUGCUUUUGGUGGAGGCUGUUUUACAGCAUAAGAGAUGGUCAUUCCAGAAUUGGUGUGACCUAUACACUGAUCUACCAAGUAAACAACUUAAGGUUAAAGUGAAAGAUCGAACUUCUAUUGUUACAACCGAUGCAGAACGAAAAGUUUGCCAACCAUCUGGCUUGCAAGAAUUGAUAGAUAAGGAAGUCGUUAAUUACUCUCAUGGGCGAUGCUUUGUGCGGCCAUCUGGAACUGAGGAUGUGGUAAGAGUAUACGCAGAGGCAUCUACCAUGGAAGCAGCGGAAAGCCUUGCAAAAUCUGUAGCACAGCAUGUUGAGCGCAUUCUCGGGUUUUGCUAG